GACGAACGCUGGCGGCGUGCUUAACACAUGCAAGUCGAACGGAAAGGCCCUGCUUUUGUGGGGUGCUCGAGUGGCGAACGGGUGAGUAACACGUGAGUAACCUGCCCUUGACUUUGGGAUAACUUCAGGAAACUGGGGCUAAUACCGGAUAGGAGCUCCUGCUGCAUGGUGGGGGUUGGAAAGUUUCGGCGGUUGGGGAUGGACUCGCGGCUUAUCAGCUUGUUGGUGGGGUAGUGGCUUACCAAGGCUUUGACGGGUAGCCGGCCUGAGAGGGUGACCGGCCACAUUGGGACUGAGAUACGGCCCAGACUCCUACGGGAGGAAGCAGUGGGGAAUAUUGCACAAUGGGCGGAAGCCUGAUGCAGCAACGCAGCGUGCGGGAUGACGGCCUUCGGGUUGUAAACCGCUUUCGCCUGUGACGAAGCGUGAGUGACGGUAAUGGGUAAAGAAGCACCGGCUAACUACGUG
Molecule: ribosomal RNA, 468 nt
Filed under: uncultured bacterium
Lineage: Bacteria
Description: partial 16S ribosomal RNA
Rfam family: Bacterial small subunit ribosomal RNA
Source: RNAcentral